GGAAGUGGAUGGGCCCUGGUGGGCCUCCUGGACUUCAAAUCCAGUGGCGGGCGCUGAGGCCCGCGGCGGGUUCGAUUCCCGUACACUUCCGCCA
RNAcentral lists this transfer RNA (94 nucleotides) under Deltaproteobacteria bacterium. RNAcentral's name for it is "tRNA-Sec". It matches the Rfam family "Selenocysteine transfer RNA". The record is from RNAcentral. Lineage: Bacteria; Pseudomonadati; Myxococcota; Myxococcia. RNAcentral also lists the same sequence under 1 other name.